Molecule: ribosomal RNA, 468 nt
Filed under: uncultured bacterium
Lineage: Bacteria
Description: partial 16S ribosomal RNA
Rfam family: Bacterial small subunit ribosomal RNA
Source: RNAcentral
GACGAACGCUGGCGGCGUGCUUAACACAUGCAAGUCGAACGGAGAACGAGGGAGCUUGCUCCCUGCGCGACAGGGGAACACGGGUGAGUAACACGUGAGCACUCUGCCCCGCACUCGGGGAUAUGCGUGGGAAACGACGUAUUAUACCGGAUACGCCCCGGCUGGACGUCCUCUCCGCGAGGAAUUCAGCGGUUGGGGAUGUGCUCGCGGCCUAUCAGCUUGUUGGUGGGGUAUUGGCUCACCAAGGCGCUGACGGGUAGCCGGCCUGAGAGGGUGACCGGCCACACUGGGACUGAGAUACGGCCCAGACUCCUACGGGAGGCAGCAGUGGGGAAUAUUGCACAAUGGGCGCAAGCCUGAUGCAGCAACGCCGCGUGCGGGAUGACGGCCUUCGGGUUGUAAACCUCUUUUAGCAGGGACGAAGCGAGAGUGACGGUACCGGGAGAAGAAGCACCGGCUAACUACGUG